CUACGGGCGGCUGCAGUGAGGAAUAUUGCACAAUGGAGGAAACUCUGAUGCAGCAACGCCGCGUGGAGGAUGACGCAUUUCGGUGUGUAAACUCCUUUUAUAUGUCAAGAAAAUGACGGUAGCAUAUGAAUAAGCUCCGGCUAACUCCGUGCCAGCAGCCGCGGUAAUACGGAGGGAGCAAGCGUUACUCGGAAUCACUGGGCGUAAAGGACGCGUAGGCGGGAUAGAAAGUCAGGUGUGAAAUCCUAUGGCUCAACCAUAGAACUGCACUUGAAACUUCUAACCUAGAGUAUGGGAGGGGAAGAUGGAAUUAGUGGUGUAGGGGUAAAAUCCGUAGAUAUCACUAGGAAUACCUAAAGCGAAGGCGAUCUCCUGGAACAUUACUGACGCUAAGGCGUGAAAGCGUGGGGAGCAAACAGGAUUAGAUACCCUAGUAGUC
This 439-nucleotide ribosomal RNA is filed under the name uncultured bacterium. RNAcentral's name for it is "partial 16S ribosomal RNA". It matches the Rfam family "Bacterial small subunit ribosomal RNA", at positions 339 to 795 of the family's 1533-position model. The record is from RNAcentral.